This 498-nucleotide ribosomal RNA is filed under the name uncultured Burkholderiales bacterium. Its description in RNAcentral is "partial 16S ribosomal RNA". Lineage: Bacteria; Pseudomonadati; Pseudomonadota; Betaproteobacteria; Burkholderiales. The record is from RNAcentral.
CACGUAGUUAGCCGGUGCUUAUUCUUCAGGUACCGUCAUUAGCCCGGGGUAUUAACCCAGACCGUUUCUUCCCUGACAAAAGCGGUUUACAACCCGAAGGCCUUCUUCCCGCACGCGGCAUGGCUGGAUCAGACUUGCGUCCAUUGUCCAAAAUUCCCCACUGCUGCCUCCCGUAGGAGCCUGGGCCGUGUCUCAGUCCCAGUGUGGCUGGUCGUCCUCUCAGACCAGCUACAGAUCGUCGCCUUGGUAGGCUUUUACCCCACCAACUAGCUAAUCUGAUAUCGGCCGCUCCAAUCGCGCGAGGUCUUGCGAUCCCCCCGCUUUCACCCUCAGGUCGUAUGCGGUAUUAGCUACUCUUUCGAGUAGUUAUCCCCCACGACUGGGCACGUUCCGAUAUAUUACUCACCCGUUCGCCACUCGUCAGCUUAACCUGUUACCGUUCGACUUGCAUGUGUAAGGCAUGCCGCCAGCGUUCAAUCUGAGCCAGGAUCAAAACUC